ACUCCUACGGGAGGCAGCAGUGGGAAUAUUGCACAAUGGGGAAAGCCUCGAUGCAGCCAUGCCGCGUGUGUGAAGAAGGCCUUCGGGUUGUAAAGCACUUUCAGUAGGGAGGAAGGUAGUGUAGUUAACACCUGCACUAUUUGACGUUACCUACAGAAGAAGCACCGGCUAACUCCGUGCCAGCAGCCGCGGUAAUACGGAGGGUGCGAGCGUUAAUCGGAAUUACUGGGCGUAAAGCGCAUGCAGGCGGCCUGUUAAGUCAGAUGUGAAAGCCCGGGCUUAAGCCUCGGAAUUGCAUUUGAAACUGGCAGGCUAGAGUCUUGUAGA
Molecule: ribosomal RNA, 327 nt
Filed under: uncultured bacterium
Lineage: Bacteria
Description: bacterial SSU rRNA
Rfam family: Bacterial small subunit ribosomal RNA
Source: RNAcentral